Molecule: long non-coding RNA, 666 nt
Filed under: Homo sapiens (human)
Lineage: Eukaryota; Metazoa; Chordata; Mammalia; Primates; Hominidae
Description: non-protein coding lnc-AHNAK-1:11
Source: RNAcentral
AGUGUUGUCCCCAGCCUCAAGCCUCUCUGCACCGUAAUUGUGCUUCUUUUCCUCAGAUACCUGCCUUGCAUUGGCCCUGGGUAAAUGUUUCCCUUGGCUGUGAAUAGGCAAUUAAAAUUCUGAACCUUUUAUGGCUCUGGAAGCUUAUCCGAUGAAACAAUACUCAUCCAGGCGGAUGGCCCACCAGCGCAAAGGGCUGAAAAGUUCCAUGGCAGCCUCAUAACUGGAGGGUGUGUCCAUGAGGAGGGUUUCGAUGACACGCUGAAAGCUCGGGCAGAUCUCUGCAGAAGCUGCAACACAGAGGAGAGAAGGCACAUGUCUCCAGGCCCCUUUCCAAGCUGGCUAGCCCUCUGGCUGGGUCUGCCCAGAUGCAAACAGCCAGGCCCAUCAGCGAGAGAUAGCAGCCUUUUCAUCGAUGGACUAGAGUGUAAGAUUUGUGGAUUGCCCGAGUCUUCCUUAGACUUCUUGGGUUGAGGUGAGCAAGGUGCCGUUUUUCUUUCUGUUGGAGAUCAAGGCAGAGUAUUGAUCAUAGAAGCUGCUGGCCUGAUUUUUUAAUGCAGUGUGGAGGCUGGGAAGAGGCCACUGAGGGUUUUAUUUCCCACCAGAAACUUGCCUCUCAUCAGUGGUUAGAGAUGCCCUGAGCCAUGCUUCACUGGGGGCAUGUGA